GCAUUCGUGGUAUAGUGGUCAGCACGCUCGGUGCGUAUUCGAGAGGUCCGUGGUUCGAAUCCCGGCGAAGGCA
This 73-nucleotide transfer RNA is filed under the name Stegodyphus mimosarum. It matches the Rfam family "tRNA". From Rfam's summary of the family: Transfer RNA (tRNA) molecules are approximately 80 nucleotides in length. Their secondary structure includes four short double-helical elements and three loops (D, anti-codon, and T loops). Lineage: Eukaryota; Metazoa; Arthropoda; Arachnida; Araneae; Eresidae. The record is from Rfam by way of RNAcentral.